RNAcentral lists this ribosomal RNA (253 nucleotides) under uncultured bacterium. RNAcentral's name for it is "partial 16S ribosomal RNA". It matches the Rfam family "Bacterial small subunit ribosomal RNA", at positions 524 to 776 of the family's 1533-position model. The record is from RNAcentral.
UACGGGGGGGGCAAGCGUUGUUCGGAAUUACUGGGCGUAAAGGGCUCGUAGGUGGCCAACUAAGUCAGACGUGAAAUCCCUCGGCUUAACCGGGGAACUGCGUCUGAUACUGGAUGGCUUGAGGUUGGGAGAGGGAUGCGGAAUUCCAGGUGUAGCGGUGAAAUGCGUAGAUAUCAAGAGGAACACCUGCGGCGAAGGCGGGUUGCUGGGCUGACACUGACGCUGAAGCGCGAAAGCCAGGGGAGCGAACGGG